AGAGCAUCGCCUGUGCACACAGCUACUGCCCUGCAGAAGCUGUGCUGCUGAAAUCACGGAGCGUCUGCAAGAAAUGGCAGCAAACUGGGAAGAGAUCGCUAUUUUCUUUUGUUAGCCUUGCUUGGGAAGCUGAUUCCCACCCCUGCCUGGAAAACUAGAGGAACACUAAGGAGGCCAGAGGGGAGCUACUCAGGGAACCACACAGGGAAGGGCAAGCGAGGUUUGGGUGAGGAGCAAUUGCCUUUAAGUACACUUUUAUCAGUGGUUCUGUGCAGGAACAGCAAUAAGUGCAGGACAGCAACAUGUACUUGGGCUGCUGGAGUCACCCAGGCCCUGGGCAUCACACAGUGAUGUCAGUGCAAUGACACACGGGUGCCAUGAUGAUGCUUGAGCAAAUUCCACAGUUCCAUUGGAUUUUGUUUGCAAACUGACAGGGCGAAGACAGUCUCAUAGCAGAAAUGGCUUCAAGUGCAAAUUACAGGCAAAUGGAGAUAAGAGAAAACGAAAGUGAACCAUGUGCAGAAACUUCUGCUUCUGAUUCAGAGAAUCUGGCUGAGUCCUCAGGCUGCCCUUCUAUUGAUCCUCAGGAUAGGAUCAAGGAACAUAUGGUGAUGCUGCCAUAGCACUAAUAAUGGAAGAACAGGAUCCAGAAACAUUACUGAUAAAGGCAAAACCGAACGUGUACCUCAUACGUCUUCUCAGGAGAACAGUGGCAAAGCCAGCAUCUUCACCAACUCUAGGUGUUGGCUGAAAGUUACCAAUUCGAGAGCGUUUGGUGGGGUCACGUUGCAAAGUGUGUUGUAAUCAAUUAAGAAAUAUUUCAAGAGGAGGUACUGGGAAGGAGAGGACCUUGGAGAGUUUUUGAGACUGAAAGUAUGAAAAGUUUUUUUCAAGAACUUAAUCUCGAUUCACUAAAAUGCCACAUGACUUCAGAAGACCUCCUUCACUUCCUGAACUUCUGGCGGAUGAAGAGGCAUUCACUACUCAAAGGAAGUCCCAAACUGGCUGUGGAUCCAGAAGCUGGGACACAGACAACGGCACCCACAGGGACCUCACCACUCAAGCGCCCCAAGAAAGCUACCACCUGAGUCCAGGGCAGUGCUGCUCCAAGCCUGCCAGACCCUGAUCCAGCAGCAGGGAGGGAAUGGUGCCAGGCAAUAAUAACCCUUGAUUUAAUUUCUGAGAUAACAUUCACUGAGGUUUGGAUAAACCCUGUAUGUAGGAGAAUCUAUCCCUGAAAAAUCAGAGAACAGUGUUUGGAAGAUGUGAAAAGAUAAAUAUUUAGCCUUUUUUGGUAUAAGGUAAUCAGAAAUAUUUUGAAGGGAAAAUGAUGGUCCAGCCACACACCUGUCACCAGAAACUUCUAUUUCAGGAUCUGUCUGUAAGGAAAAUUGAGGUGAAAACUUAGCCAUUCA
This 1415-nucleotide long non-coding RNA is filed under the name Phasianus colchicus (ring-necked pheasant). RNAcentral's name for it is "lncRNA (ENSPCLG00000004185.1)". Lineage: Eukaryota; Metazoa; Chordata; Aves; Galliformes; Phasianidae. The record is from RNAcentral.